CCUACGGGAGGCAGCAGUGAGGAAUAUUGGUCAAUGGCCGGAAGGCUGAACCAGCCAAGCCGCGUGAAGGACGAAGGUGCCAAGCAUUGUAAACUUCUUUUGUCAAGGGACAAAAUCAGGCUCGAGAGCCUGACCGAGGGUACUUGAAGAAAAAGCAUCGGCUAACUCCGUGCCAGCAGCCGCGGUAAUACGGAGGAUGCGAGCGUUAUCCGGAUUUAUUGGGGUUAAAGGGUGCGUAGGCGGGAUGUUAAGUCAGCGGUAAAAGCCCGGGGCUCAACCCCGGCGAGCCGUUGAAACUGGCGGUCUUGAGAUGUCGAGAGGUAUGCGGAAUGCGCAGUGUAGCGGUGAAAUGCUUAGAUAGUGCGCAGAACUCCGAUGGCGAAGGCAGCAUACCGGCGGCGAUCUGACGCUGAGGCACGAAAGCGUGGGUAUCGAACAGGAGUAGAUACCCCAGUAGUC
This 459-nucleotide ribosomal RNA is filed under the name uncultured bacterium. RNAcentral's name for it is "partial 16S ribosomal RNA". It matches the Rfam family "Bacterial small subunit ribosomal RNA", at positions 338 to 795 of the family's 1533-position model. The record is from RNAcentral.